GAUGAAGAACGUAGCGAAAUGCGAUAAGUAAUGUGAAUUGCAGAAUUCAGUGAAUCAUCGAAUCUUUGAACGCACAUUGCGCCCGCCAGUAUUCUGGCGGGCAUGCCUGUCCGAGCGUCAUUUCAACCCUCAAGCCCCCGGGCUUGGUGUUGGAGAUCGGCGAGCCCCCCGGGGCGCGCCGUCUCCCAAAUAUAGUGGCGGUCCCGCUGUAGCUUCCUCUGCGUAGUAGCACACCUCGCACUGGGAAACAGCGUGGCCACGCCGUAAAACCCCCCACUUCUGAAAGGUUGACCUCGGAUCAGGUAGGACUACCCGCUGAACUUAAGCAUAUCAAUAAGCGGAGGA
This 345-nucleotide unclassified non-coding RNA is filed under the name soil metagenome. Its description in RNAcentral is "partial contains 5.8S ribosomal RNA, internal transcribed spacer 2, and large subunit ribosomal RNA". The stretch from base 1 to 120 matches the Rfam family "5.8S ribosomal RNA", at positions 35 to 154 of the family's 154-position model. The record is from RNAcentral.